RNAcentral lists this ribosomal RNA (638 nucleotides) under Bacillus licheniformis. Its description in RNAcentral is "bacterial SSU rRNA". It matches the Rfam family "Bacterial small subunit ribosomal RNA", at positions 79 to 706 of the family's 1533-position model. The record is from RNAcentral. Lineage: Bacteria; Bacillati; Bacillota; Bacilli; Caryophanales; Bacillaceae.
CUUGCUCCCUUAGGUCAGCGGCGGACGGGUGAGUAACACGUGGGUAACCUGCCUGUAAGACUGGGAUAACUCCGGGAAACCGGGGCUAAUACCGGAUGCUUGAUUGAACCGCAUGGUUCAAUCAUAAAAGGUGGCUUUUAGCUACCACUUGCAGAUGGACCCGCGGCGCAUUAGCUAGUUGGUGAGGUAACGGCUCACCAAGGCGACGAUGCGUAGCCGACCUGAGAGGGUGAUCGGCCACACUGGGACUGAGACACGGCCCAGACUCCUACGGGAGGCAGCAGUAGGGAAUCUUCCGCAAUGGACGAAAGUCUGACGGAGCAACGCCGCGUGAGUGAUGAAGGUUUUCGGAUCGUAAAACUCUGUUGUUAGGGAAGAACAAGUACCGUUCGAAUAGGGCGGCACCUUGACGGUACCUAACCAGAAAGCCACGGCUAACUACGUGCCAGCAGCCGCGGUAAUACGUAGGUGGCAAGCGUUGUCCGGAAUUUUGGGCGUAAAGCGCGCGCAGGCGGUUUCUUAAGUCUGAUGUGAAACCCCCGGCUCACCGGGGAGGGUCUUGGAAACUGGGGAACUUGAGUGAAAGAGGAGAGUGGAAAUCCACGUGUAGCGGUGAAAUGCGUAGAGAUGUGGAGGAA